Molecule: ribosomal RNA, 372 nt
Filed under: uncultured organism
Description: bacterial SSU rRNA
Rfam family: Bacterial small subunit ribosomal RNA
Source: RNAcentral
CGUAGGGUGCGAGCGUUAAUCGGAAUUACUGGGCGUAAAGCGUGCGCAGGCGGUUUUGUAAGACAGAUGUGAAAUCCCCGGGCUCAACCUGGGACCUGCAUUUGUGACUGCGAGGCUAGAGUACGGUAGAGGGGAUGGAAUUCCGCGUGUAGCAGUGAAAUGCGUAGAUAUGCGGAGGAACACCGAUGGCGAAGGCAAUCCCCUGGACCUGUACUGACGCUCAGUGCACGAAAGCGUGGGGAGCAAACAGGAUUAGAUACCCUGGUAGUCCACGCCCUAAACGAUGUCAACUGGUUGUUGGGUCUUUACUGACUCAGUAACGAAGCUAACGCGUGAAGUUGACCGCCGUGGGGUGUACGGCCGCAAGGUUAG